RNAcentral lists this ribosomal RNA (500 nucleotides) under uncultured beta proteobacterium. Its description in RNAcentral is "partial 16S ribosomal RNA". The record is from RNAcentral. Lineage: Bacteria; Pseudomonadati; Pseudomonadota; Betaproteobacteria.
ACUUCACGCAGUCGAGUUGCAGACUGCGAUCCGGACUACGAUACACUUUCUGGGAUUAGCUCCCCCUCGCGGGUUGGCAGCCCUCUGUAUGUACCAUUGUAUGACGUGUGAAGCCCUACCCAUAAGGGCCAUGAGGACUUGACGUCAUCCCCACCUUCCUCCGGUUUGUCACCGGCAGUCUCAUUAGAGUGCCCUUUCGUAGCAACUAAUGACAAGGGUCGCGCUCGUUGCGGGACUUAACCCAACAUCUCACGACACGAGCUGACGACAGCCAUGCAGCACCUGUGUUCAGGCUCCCUUUCGGGCACCCCUCAAUCUCUCGAGGGUUCCUGACAUGUCAAGGGUAGGUAAGGUUUUUCGCGUUGCAUCGAAUUAAUCCACAUCAUCCACCGCUUGUGCGGGUCCCCGUCAAUUCCUUUGAGUUUUAAUCUUGCGACCGUACUCCCCAGGCGGUCUACUUCACGCGUUAGCUGCGUUACCAAGUCAAUUAAGACCCGACA